AAAACACAAAUAGUAAAAAACUUUCAACAACGGAUCUCUUGGUUCCAGCAUCGAUGAAGAACGCAGCGAAAUGCGAUAAGUAAUGUGAAUUGCAGAAUUCAGUGAAUCAUCGAAUCUUUGAACGCACAUUGCG
Molecule: ribosomal RNA, 133 nt
Filed under: Usnea lapponica
Lineage: Eukaryota; Fungi; Ascomycota; Lecanoromycetes; Lecanorales; Parmeliaceae
Description: 5.8S ribosomal RNA
Rfam family: 5.8S ribosomal RNA (bases 19-133)
About the family: 5.8S ribosomal RNA (5.8S rRNA) is a component of the large subunit of the eukaryotic ribosome.
Source: RNAcentral